This 312-nucleotide ribosomal RNA is filed under the name uncultured bacterium. RNAcentral's name for it is "bacterial SSU rRNA". It matches the Rfam family "Bacterial small subunit ribosomal RNA", at positions 505 to 796 of the family's 1533-position model. The record is from RNAcentral.
GUGCCAGCAGCCGCGGUAAUACAGAGGGCGCGAGCGUUGUCCGGAAUCACUGGGCGUAAAGGGCGCGUAGGUGGCCACCAUAAGGCCGCGGUGAAAGUUCGGGGCUCAACCCCGGAUCGGCCGCGGCGACUGUGGGGCUUGGGUACUGUAGAGGCAGGUGGAAUUCCGGGUGUAGCGGUGGAAUGCGUAGAGAUCCGGAAGAACACCAGUGGCGAAGGCGGCCUGCUGGGCAGUGGGAUCGAAAGGUCCCUAUAACCGACACUGAGGCGCGACAGCGUGGGGAGCAAACAGGAUUAGAUACCCUGGUAGUCC